CUCAGGACGAACGCUGGCGGCGUGCUUAACACAUGCAAGUCGAGCGGAAAGGCCCUUCGGGGUACUCGAGCGGCGAACGGGUGAGUAACACGUGAGUAACCUGCCCCUGACUCUGGGAUAAGCCCGGGAAACUGGGUCUAAUACCGGAUAUGACAUCUCCCGGCAUCGGGUGGGUGUGGAAAGUUUUUCGGUUGGGGAUGGGCUCGCGGCCUAUCAGCUUGUUGGUGGGGUAGUGGCCUACCAAGGCGACGACGGGUAGCCGGCCUGAGAGGGCGACCGGCCACACUGGGACUGAGACACGGCCCAGACUCCUACGGGAGGCAGCAGUGGGGAAUAUUGCGCAAUGGGCGAAAGCCUGACGCAGCGACGCCGCGUGGGGGAUGACGGCCUUCGGGUUGUAAACCUCUUUCAGCAGGGACGAAGUUGACGUGUACCUGCAGAAGAAGCGCCGGCUAACUACGUGCCAGCAGCCGCGGUAAUACGUAGGGCGCAAGCGUUGUCCGGAAUUAUUGGGCGUAAAGAGCUCGUAGGUGGCUGGUCGCGUCUGCCGUGAAAGCCCGCAGCUUAACUGCGGGUCUGCGGUGGAUACGGGCCGGCUAGAGGUAGGUAGGGGCAAGUGGAAUUCCUGGUGUAGCGGUGAAAUGCGCAGAUAUCAGGAGGAACACCGGUGGCGAAGGCGGCUUGCUGGGCCUUACCUGAC
RNAcentral lists this ribosomal RNA (700 nucleotides) under Nonomuraea sp. L1774. RNAcentral's name for it is "bacterial SSU rRNA". It matches the Rfam family "Bacterial small subunit ribosomal RNA", at positions 23 to 744 of the family's 1533-position model. Lineage: Bacteria; Bacillati; Actinomycetota; Actinomycetes; Streptosporangiales; Streptosporangiaceae. The record is from RNAcentral.